This 336-nucleotide unclassified non-coding RNA is filed under the name soil metagenome. Its description in RNAcentral is "partial contains 5.8S ribosomal RNA, internal transcribed spacer 2, and large subunit ribosomal RNA". The stretch from base 1 to 120 matches the Rfam family "5.8S ribosomal RNA", at positions 35 to 154 of the family's 154-position model. The record is from RNAcentral.
GAUGAAGAACGCAGCGAAAUGCGAUAAGUAAUGUGAAUUGCAGAAUUCCGUGAAUCAUCGAAUCUUUGAACGCACAUUGCGCCCCCUGGUAUUCCGGGGGGCAUGCCUGUCCGAGCGUCAUUGCAACCUUCAAGCGCGGCUUGUGUGUUGGGUCUCGUCCCCCGUGGACGGGCCCGAAAGGCAGUGGCGGCGUCCCGACAUGGUGCCCGAGCGUAUGGGAAUCCUCUUCCGCUCGAAUCGGCCCAUGCGGCGCUGGUCGUGACCAAAUUUUUUACCGGUUGACCUCGGAUCAGGUAGGGAUACCCGCUGAACUUAAGCAUAUCAAUAAGCGGAGGA